Molecule: unclassified non-coding RNA, 362 nt
Filed under: uncultured bacterium
Lineage: Bacteria
Description: contains 16S-23S intergenic spacer region
Source: RNAcentral
UCCCCGUUGCCGGGGCAGUCUGACUAGAAAAAUUCAACUAAUCAUAAGGGUUGCGCUCGUUACUGGACUUAACCAUACAUCUCACGACACGAGCUGACGACGGCCAUGCAUCACCUGUCAUUGGGCUCCAAAAGGCACUGUUGUCUUUCGACGACAUUCCCAAGAUGUCAAGCCCUGGUAAGGUUCUUCGCUUACCCUCGAAUUAAACAACACGCUCCACCGCUUGUGCGGGUCCCCGUCAAUUCCUUUAUGUUUUAAGCUUGCGCUCGUACUCCACAGGCGGGAUGCUUAACGCGUUAGCUUCGCUACUACAGGGGUCGAUACCCAUAACAGCUAGCAUCCAUAGUUUACGGCGUGGACUA